RNAcentral lists this ribosomal RNA (254 nucleotides) under uncultured bacterium. RNAcentral describes it as "partial 16S ribosomal RNA". It matches the Rfam family "Bacterial small subunit ribosomal RNA", at positions 524 to 776 of the family's 1533-position model. The record is from RNAcentral.
CACGUAGGGGGCGAGCGUUGUCCGGAUUUAUUGGGCGUAAAGAGCUCGUAGGCGGUUUCGUAAGUCGGAUGUGAAAACUCCAGGCUCAACUUGGAGACGCCAUUCGAUACUGCGAUGACUUGAGUCCGGUAGGGGAGUGUGGAAUUCCUGGUGUAGCGGUGAAAUGCGCAGAUAUCAGGAGGAACACCGGCGGCGAAGGCGGCGACCUGGGCCAAUAUUGACGCUGAGGUGCGAAAGCGUGGGGAGCAAACAGG